CUUGUACUCCCUCCGUCCAAAAAUACUUGUCAUUGAAAUGGAUGUAUCUAGAUGUAUUUUAGUUCUAGACACAUCCAUUUUGAUGACAAGUAAUUUCGGACGGAGGGAGUACUUG
This is a non-coding RNA of Triticum urartu, 115 nucleotides long. The record is from Rfam. NCBI's taxonomy places the organism in Eukaryota, Viridiplantae, Streptophyta, Magnoliopsida, Poales, Poaceae.